GUGGGGAAUUUUGGGCAAUGGGCGAAAGCCUGACCCAGCAACGCCGCGUGUGGGAUGAAGGCCCUCGGGUCGUAAACCACUGUCAGGAGGAAAGAAUGGCCAGCCGGAUAAUACUCGGUUGGUUUGACGGUACCUCCAAAGGAAGCACCGGCUAACUCCGUGCCAGCAGCCGCGGUAAUACGGAGGGUGCAAGCGUUGUUCGGAAUUACUGGGCGUAAAGCGCAUGCAGGUGGCUGAGUAAGUCGAAUGUGAAAGCCCCGGGCUCAACUCGGGAACUGCAUCCGAAACUGCUCAGCUAGAGUCCCGGAGGGGAGGGCAGAAUUCCCAAUGUAGGGGUGAAAUCCGUAGAUAUUGGGAGGAAUACCGGUGGCGAAGGCGGCCCUCUGGACGGUGACUGACACUCAGAUGCGAAAGCGUGGGGAGCAAACAGGAUUAGAAACCCGGGUAGUCC
This 451-nucleotide ribosomal RNA is filed under the name uncultured bacterium. Its description in RNAcentral is "bacterial SSU rRNA". It matches the Rfam family "Bacterial small subunit ribosomal RNA", at positions 354 to 796 of the family's 1533-position model. The record is from RNAcentral.